CCUACGGGUGGCUGCAGUGAGGAAUAUUGGUCAAUGGUCGGGAGCCUGAACCAGCCAAGCCGCGUGAAGGAGGACUGUCCAACGUAUCGUAAACCUCUUUUGUCAGGGAACAAAGAGUGGCACGCGUCCCCUUCUGUGUGUACCUUACGAAUAAGCAUCGGCUAACUCCGUGCCAGCAGCCGCGGUAAUACGGAGGAUCCGAGCGUUAUCCGGAUUUAUUGGGUUUAAAGGGGGCGCAGGCGGGCUGUUAAGUCAGCUGUGAAAGCCUGGGGCUCAACCGUAGACUGGCCGUUGAGACUGGCAGCCUGGAGUAGGGGUGAAGUAGGCGGAAUGCGUGGUGUAGCGGUGAAAUGCAUAGAUAUCGCGAAGAACUCCGAUUGCGAAGGCAGCAUGC
Molecule: ribosomal RNA, 394 nt
Filed under: uncultured bacterium
Lineage: Bacteria
Description: partial 16S ribosomal RNA
Rfam family: Bacterial small subunit ribosomal RNA
Source: RNAcentral